Molecule: long non-coding RNA, 416 nt
Organism: Symphalangus syndactylus (siamang)
Lineage: Eukaryota; Metazoa; Chordata; Mammalia; Primates; Hylobatidae
Source: RefSeq, a predicted model, not a curated record
AAAAAAAGAAGUGAAGUCAAGAUAGGAAGUAACAUCGGAAGACAGGAAGUGCUGGUAGAAGACAAGAAGUGAGGUCAUACAGGAAGCAAAGUCAGAAGACAGGAAGUGAAGUAAGACAGGAAGUGGUUGUAGAAGACAGGAAGUGAGGUCAUACAUGAAGUAAAAUCAGAAGACAGGAAGUGACGUCAAACCAGGACUUGCAGUCGGAGGCAGGCAAGAAGUGAAAUCAGAAGACAGGAAGUGGCUGAGGGGAACGUCUUUUCUCUCUCCUGCUUGGCCUGAAGUGAACAGGUAGCAUCAGAGAUGAGAUCCUGGAUUGAAUGAUUUGAAUUACUAUGGAAAGUGAUUGACCAAGGGCCGCUCACCAUGGCAGCCGGCUCCAUCACCGCCAGCCAGUGAGAGGGCAAGACAAGAGG